AUGUCCAGAUGUCUCCCGGUCUCUUCCUUCAUUUCCUCUGCGCUUGCACAGCCCUCCCUCGGGUUCGUGAUACUACGUGUGUGCCCUUGCCCCACUAGCCCGAAGCUUCACGAAGACAAGGACCGGGCCUGCUGCGGGCAGCUCUGUCAUCAACCCCUCGAGGCAAGCACCCAGCUCCGUUCCUCGGGACCCCUGAUGCAUCAGAACUCCGUGGUGUUAUCAUUUCCUCUUUGCAGGGACCCAGAGCGGUUGCUGGCCGACUCCCACUCCCAUCGGGGUCUCUGCACGGUUGCCGAGGGCCUGGUGAGCCUCUAAGACUCCAGGGCAUGGAGUCGCCACCCGGUGGCGCAGCGGUUUAGCGCCGUCUUCAGCCCAGGGUGUGAUCCUGGAGACCCGGGAUCGAGUCCCACAUCGGGCUCCCUGCCUGGAGCCUGCUUCUCCCUCUGCCUGGGUCUCUGCCCCCGCCCCAUCUAUCUAUCUCUAUCUCUAUCUCUAUCUCUAUCUCUAUCUCUAUCAUCUCUAUCUCUAUCUCUCAUGAAUAAAUAAAUAAAAUUUUUUAAAAAAAAGGACUCCAGGGCAUGAAUCUCAGAAUGGAAUUCCACAGCGUGUGACACACACUGGGAGACACCCCUGGGGGCGGAUGGUGGUAACUUGAGAGCCUGCGGGCAGACAAGGAGUCCCCCGGUCUUUCUUCGGGUCUCUGAGGACUGCUCGGAACAGGACGCCAAGAGGCAGCUGCCUGGAGGUGACCACGAGGACCUAGUGUGUGUCUCCACUGUGCAGCCUCCGCGAUCUCACGUCAGCUGGGCUCCACCCUGGGCCUUUGUCCCUCUGAAUGUCCAACGCCUCAUCCUUAAAGUACAGAUCGUAGUAUGAACCUCACAGAGCCCUGUGAGGAUCCCGUGGGAUGAGGCACUGGUUGGAACGUUCUGGAUGAACUCUGGUGACAUGUCUGAGCCACACAAGCGCCGUUGAUGGAGCCCCAGCUUCUGUUAGGACCACCUGGCCCUGCACCUCCCCGCCCCCCUUUGGUGUCCCC
This 1039-nucleotide long non-coding RNA is filed under the name Canis lupus familiaris (dog). RNAcentral's name for it is "lncRNA (ENSCAFG00040001106.1)". Lineage: Eukaryota; Metazoa; Chordata; Mammalia; Carnivora; Canidae. The record is from RNAcentral.